CGCGUAGGCGGCUAGGUAAGUCCGACGUGAAAUCUGGAGGCUCAACCUCCAGCGGUCGUUGGAAACUACUUGGCUAGAGUCCGGAAGAGGAGAGUGGAAUUCCUGGUGUAGCGGUGAAAUGCGCAGAUAUCAGGAAGAACACCGAUGGCGAAAGCAGCUCUCUGGGACGGUACUGACGCUGAGGCGAGAAAGCGUGGGGAGCGAACGA
RNAcentral lists this ribosomal RNA (208 nucleotides) under uncultured bacterium. RNAcentral's name for it is "partial 16S ribosomal RNA". It matches the Rfam family "Bacterial small subunit ribosomal RNA", at positions 568 to 775 of the family's 1533-position model. The record is from RNAcentral.